Molecule: ribosomal RNA, 277 nt
Filed under: uncultured bacterium
Lineage: Bacteria
Description: partial 16S ribosomal RNA
Rfam family: Bacterial small subunit ribosomal RNA
Source: RNAcentral
GGUGAACGCUGGCGGCGUGCCUAAGACAUGCAAGUCGAACGGGCCUGAUUUCGGUCAGGCUAGUGGCGGACGGGUGAGUAACACGUGGGUGAUCUACCCCAAAGUCUGGGACAACUAGGGGAAACCUUAGCUAAUCCCGGAUGGUGAGGCUUCUCCUGUGAAGUCUCUAAAGAUUUAUCGCUUUGGGAUGAGCCCGCGGCGCAUCAGCUAGUUGGUGGGGUAAUGGCCUACCAAGGCGACGACGCGUAGCUGGUCUGAGAGGACGACCAGCCACAGG